AGUCUUGGGGAAUCUGUAAGCCCAGCCAUCAGGGCGACUAGAUCCCCGGCGCUUAACAAGACCAUACUCAUAUCCUACAUUCUUAACUUCAGGGCUCGGUUUGCCCCCAGAGGCCAUACACAUCAGAGAUUGAAAUUGUUGCCGCCCCAAUGAAUCUCCUAUGAAUGCAAUUGUUUUGUCCUGCAUUCUAGAGAUCGAACUAACAAAUGCAGAUCGGUCGAACUCUGGCAUAUCACAAUUUUGAGGUUGCCAGCGGAAUCCCUCAUAUGAGAAAUCUGGUCUCUGAGUCACUCUACAUGCCCACAUUGUUGACAACCACUGUUUACAUCCAAACCCAGAAUACAAUGGUCUCCUGCUGUCUGCAAUCCAUCUACCCUUGGCGUAAUUACAGACUGCACAGGUGAUGACAUUCAGAUUCAAUCAAUACACAGGUAUGUGAAAUAAUUGUGCAGUGCAGAAUAUUUUGUUGAUUUCCGGGGGCUUCAGCUUGGAGCACUCAGAAAAUUGGCCAUGCUUAUGUAUUCGUUUCUUGUUUCUGGAAAGUUUAGGUAAAUCCGCUUUCGUAAUCACAGAACGAUCCAUAGCAUAUAAGUGGAAAAGGAAUUAGCCGGAAGGAGAAGAACUGAAUGCACCUUGUUGGCUGGUUCUCUUGUAAACGUCGGAGCGUCCAGAUUCAUCAGGC
Long non-coding RNA from Prosopis cineraria, 682 nucleotides. RefSeq lists it as uncharacterized. The record is from RefSeq and is a predicted model, not a curated record. The transcript has 3 exons. Lineage: Eukaryota; Viridiplantae; Streptophyta; Magnoliopsida; Fabales; Fabaceae.